AGCAGCCGCGGUAAUUCCAGCUCCAAUAGCGUAUAUUAAAGUUGUUGCAGUUAAAAGCUCGUAGUUGAAUUUCGGGGUUAGUAGGUUGGUCAUGCCUCUGGUAUGUACUGGUCUCACUGAUUCCUCCUUCCUGAUGAACCUUAAUGCCAUUAAUUUGGUGUUUUGGGGAAUUUGGACUGUUACUUUGAAAAAUUGAGUGUUUAAAGCAGGCAUUUUUGCUUGAAUACAUUAGCAUGGAAUAAUAAAAUAGGACGGCAUGGUUCUAUUUUGUUGGUUUCUAGGACCACCGUAAUGAUUAAUAGGGAUAGUUGGGGGCAUUAGUAUUCAAUUGUCAGAGGUGAAAUUCUUGGAUUUAUUGAAGACUAACUACUGCGAAAGCAUUUGCCAAGGAUGUUUUCAUUAAUCAAGAACGAAAGUUAGGGAUCGAAGACGAUCAGAUACCGUCGUAGUCUUAACCAUAAACUAUGCCGAC
This 472-nucleotide unclassified non-coding RNA is filed under the name uncultured Glomus. Its description in RNAcentral is "SSU rRNA". It matches the Rfam family "Eukaryotic small subunit ribosomal RNA", at positions 569 to 1046 of the family's 1831-position model. The record is from RNAcentral. Lineage: Eukaryota; Fungi; Glomeromycota; Glomeromycetes; Glomerales; Glomeraceae.